GCGCCCUUCCCCCGCGGAGUCUGCCCCGGGCCACCCCGCAGCCCACAGCCCCGCGGCGAGGCCCGGUUGUGAGCAGAAUCGGGGUGUGUGUCACUACAUAGAUCAAGAAUCUGAUAAACAUACGCGAGUCUCUGCGCCGCCGUCUGAUUGCAUCUCCCAUAGACACCGUGGGGCUGACCAGCGGCUGCUCUGAGUGGGAGGCCGGCAGUGCUGGCCUCAGUCUCCUUCUGGAUUGAGAAGCGUCAUGGCCAGCAUCUUGCAGGCCUCCCUGGCUGCUUUCCUCCUGCUGCCUAUGGCCACCGCCAUGCACUCUGACUGCAUCUUCAAGAAGGAGCAAGCCAUGUGCCUGGAGAAGAUCCAGAGGGCGAAUGACCUGAUGGGCUUGAACGACUCCUCCCCAGUGCACACCCUCUCACUAGACCCAUUGUCCCGGUCCACGAUGGGUCCUACCUAGCAUCCCUGUGCCGACCACCCCUGGUUCUCUUCCCCCUGUUCCGACUCCCCGUCUGCACUCCGGACUUGUAUCUAACCGCCUGUUGGAAAUCCACCUCCACUUGGCUCCUGGCACCAUCUCAGACUGAACACACUCCAGAUGAAGCCCUUGAGCUCCAGCCUGCCUCAUGCCCUCCACCAUUUGCUUCUCAUCCGGUUUCUCUCCACUGUGGGGAAAGGCUGACCCCUCCAGCCACACAGACACUCAAGCCAGAAGCCCAGGUGCCAUCUUUGGUACCUCUCUCCCUUUCACUGCAUCAGUCAGGGUAGCCUAGAUGUCACUGCAGUAACCAAAAAAAAAAUAAAUAAAUAAUAAUAAUAAAAAUAAAGACCUUAAGAUUUUAGGGACGCAGCACAACAGCCUUUAUUGCUUGCACACACGGGUUACAGGCCUGCGUGGUUGGUAGAGGCGGGAGGCGGAGCUUGAUUCUGCACCGUCAUUCAGAGCCCCGGGCUCCUUCCAUCUUAGAACACUGCCACCCUCAACCUGUGGCCUCCCAAGAAUGCUGCAGAGAGGGGAGAGGGAGAGAACGGGCGUGGAACCUGUGAGGGGCGCCUCUGAGAGCAGUCCAUCACCUCCACUUACUUACCAUUGGUGAGAACUCAGUCACGGGGUACGGGUGAGCACCAACGGUCGCUGGCAGGCUGGUCUGUCACUGGGCCCUCCAGAUCUGCCACCUCCAGGCUCCCCUACACAGCAUGCCUUUCUGUCUUGGCUGUCCUGGCUCCAAAUCAAGACCCUCUGCCCUCCCCUGGACUUCUGCCAUAUCCUAACAGAUAUGUCUCCGUUUUGAUUUGCUGCUCUUGAAAUGUAUUACCUUCCCGGGGCGCCUG
Molecule: non-coding RNA, 1326 nt
Organism: Leptonychotes weddellii (Weddell seal)
Lineage: Eukaryota; Metazoa; Chordata; Mammalia; Carnivora; Phocidae
Source: RefSeq, a predicted model, not a curated record